CCGAGUUCACAACUCCCAAACCCCUGUGAACAUACCUAUACGUUGCCUCGGCGGAUCAGCCCGCGCCCGUAAAAAGGGACGGCCCGCCCGAGGACCCCUAAACUCUGUUUUUAGUGGAACUUCUGAGUAAAACAAACAAAUAAAUCA
Molecule: unclassified non-coding RNA, 147 nt
Filed under: soil metagenome
Description: partial internal transcribed spacer 1
Source: RNAcentral